GGGAGCGAGGUUGGAGAGGCUGCGGCGCGUGGCCUGAGGCGGAGAGCCGGGCUGCGGGGGUCCGGGCCAGGCCAGGCGCCGGCAUGACCCGCCUCGCCAGCAAGAGCAGGCCGGGCUUCCUCCUCCCUUGGCGGGCGGGGGAGGGGAAGGGGGCUCCUGGUCGGGGAGAAGGGGGAUAAGGUGGUCCUGAUUCUCCCUGUGCCACAGCCACAAAGCCGAUCCUGGCCUCCUGCGGAGGAGCCUGAGCGCCUUCCCGCAGACCUGACGCGACCCCUCCCCAGGGUCCUGGGCCUCGGCCUGGUCUAGCGAGUCCCCUUCCUCCCAAGGAGCAGCCAGAGGAGCUCGGGUGGAGGAAAGCGAGGAGGCGACCCGAAGGAUGCCGCCGCCGCCGCCGCUGCAGGGCCCAGGGCUUCUGUAGGGCACAAGGCCUCUCUCACCAGGGUAAGGGGCUGGCGAUCAACCUGGACGCCUAGGACCCUGGGAGCAAGCAUCCCGCAACCGAGCAGGCGACGGCGCGGCCACCACCUGGAGAGGAGCCGGGGCCCGGGGCGGCGUGCGGGGCGGUGGCAGCCGGCUUGGCCUAUCUGAAACCCCAGGCCUGGAAGCGGCUGCCUUUAGGCGUCAAGUUGAGCCGGGUAUGUGUGUCCUCUUGGGGAAAAGGAAACCCGCCCAGGCCAGGAGGAGCCGCGAGUGGUGGGGAGAGUCAAAAAAGAGGAGAUGCGCUGGGAGAUUACCCCCGCCCCCGCACUCCGCCCCUAGCCCGGCCCCGGCCUCCACUUCGAGGGAUCCUGAGCCUCCCACAGCCACUACCACCUUUUCCCCGGUUGAGAAAACCCCUGAUAGUAGCGAGAUAAAAAUUGGGUGGGGGAACAGGUGGAUGCCGCCGGAGAAAAAGAAGGGAUGUAGGCAGCCCAGCCGGCGGCCCUGGGUCUCCAGGGGUAAGCCAGGACCGCUUACCCUGCCCUCAGCGGCAUCAGUGACUCUUAGGAGCUUGCUACUUCUAGACUCGGCCUCUCCUCCCUCCCAAGGCACCCCUCAGCCUCACCGCUGUAGCACCCAGGACUCCAGCCCCUGCACCUAGGAAAGGCUUCAGCCUGGCAGAAAUUCACCCAUUUCAAGGCUUGGCCCACCAGGCCUUAGCAUUGCCGGGUGAGGUGGGGUGCACGCGGUGCUCAGGACGGCCAGUGGAGUCACCUGCUCCACUCCCCCUGCCUGGACACCCACUUCCUCACAGCUACCCAGCUCCUGAGGACCCUGGCCAACUACAGCCCCAGCCCCCAGCGCUGGCCUCAACCGAGUCUCCUCCGUCUGCUUCAGUUUGGCCUUUUUGGAGGAGAAGGAGGGCUUUAUCUGGGGACUAUUGUGUUUUGACUCCUUUAUAUUAGCCAAGGAACUGGAGUGUGAUUGUAGCGGGACGAUCUGGCAGGCGGAGUGUUCACAGCAGGGGUAGGAAAAGAGGGGAGGGGGACUCCGUUCAGAUCCUGGAGACAGUAGAGGCGCACUUUUAAAAGCACCAGCCGUUCGUGUCUUCCUUUGGACGUGCUAGAGAACCCCUGGUAAAAAAUCCAUGUUUGUGCCUGGCUCAGAGAUGCAAAGGAGGAGGUUUGGCGUGCGCACCGUUCUCCCGGCCUCCUUUGGUCCCGGGCUGCCCCCUACCCACAGCCUCUCCCUCCCGGCAGCUCAGCUGUAGGCUGCCUUCCACCUCGCGGACCCCAAGCAAUUUGUUAUAUAAAACAAAACAGCAACCAGACGCAUGUGCCUGUUCUUCACUAGCGCCAGCAGUCCAGCAGCGACCGACACCCGGCGGACAUCAGCCGGGACGCCUCAGGCAGCUGCUUCUUGCUCGCUGCCGCACCCACCUCUGCACCCCAGCUCCGGUCAGCCCAGCAGCCAAAGCAAAAAGGAGAUUCCUCAGUUUGCUCCCUUGGAGGCUGCAAAGCCUCUCUGGUUAUUCCAACCAUUAAGGAAAAAAGAGGUGAUGGGAAAGAUUUGGUCUGCACACAAAGACAUACCAGGAGAAGAAUGCACAUUUAUGUGUAAAAUAGCCCAGGCACCAAGAAUGAGACAUUACUUCAGUACAGCCUAGAAAUGGUUAAAUAUAACUGAAUGCUAGAGGACAGAAGUGGUUUUGGGAUCUGCCCCACACACCUUAUCAGGAUCCCUAAUUCCCCGCCAUCUCCUAUGGUUCCAGGACACAAACUGCUUUAACCUCCAGAAGAGGGGCUCUCAGCCACGUGGCUCCCAGUACCUACCGGUUCCCCAGGCACUCUGUGUCCCGGGGCAGCUGGAAACCCUAACAGAAAACCCCCACCGAAGAAUGCUCAGGAGUUCCCACUCCCAUCCCUUCUCUGCACCCCUGACUGUCCCCACCUCAUUUAUCUUUUGCAAGAA
Molecule: long non-coding RNA, 2391 nt
Organism: Rhinopithecus roxellana (golden snub-nosed monkey)
Lineage: Eukaryota; Metazoa; Chordata; Mammalia; Primates; Cercopithecidae
Exons: 3
Source: RefSeq, a predicted model, not a curated record